GAUAAACGCUGGCGGCGUGCCUUAUGCAUGCAAGUCGAACGGUCUCGAUUUAUCGGGAUAGUGGCGAACGGGUGAGUAACACGUAAGUAACCUACCCUUAAGUAGGGGAUAACCCUGAGAAAUCGGAGCUAAUACCUUAUGUGGUGAUGGGGCUAAUGCUGCAUCACUAAAGCCUUAGGGCGCUUGAGGAUGGGCUUGCGUCCGAUUAGCUAGUUGGUAGGGUAAUGGUUUACCAAGGCGAUGAUCGGUAGCUGGUUUGAGAGGAUGGUCAGCCACACUGGGAUUGAGAUACGGCCCAGACUCCUACGGGAGGCAGCAGCAAGGAAUAUUGUGCAAUGGGCGAAAGCCUGACACAGCGACGCCGCGUGGGGGAAGAAGGCCUUCGGGUCGUAAACCCUUUUUCUCAGGGAAGAAUAAUGACGGUACCUGAGGAAUAAGUCACGGCUAACUACGUGCCAGCAGCCGCGGUAAUACGUAGGUGGCAAGCGUUAUCCGGAUUUACUGGGUGUAAAGAGGGCGCGGGCGGCUUUUCAAGUCGAAUAUAAAAUCUCCCGGCUUAACUGGGAGGGAUUAUUCGAUACUGUUGGGCUAGAGAGCAGCAGGGGGAGGUGGAAUUCCCGGUGUAGUGGUGAAAUGCGUAGAUAUCGGGAGGAACACCAGUGGCGAAGGCGGCCUCCUAGGCUGUUGCUGACGCUGAGGCCCGAAAGCGUGGGGAGCAAACAGGAUUAGAUACCCUGGUAGUCCACGCCAUAAACUAUGGACACUAGGUAUGGGGGGUAUCGACCCCCUCCGUGCCGAAGCUAACGCUUUAAGUGUCCCACCUGGGAACUACGGCCGCAAGGCUAAAACUCAAAGGAAUUGACGGGGGCCC
Molecule: ribosomal RNA, 871 nt
Filed under: uncultured bacterium
Lineage: Bacteria
Description: bacterial SSU rRNA
Rfam family: Bacterial small subunit ribosomal RNA
Source: RNAcentral